CGCGCGCGAGGUGAAGGUGACCACCUUGUCGAGGUAGUCGGGGCAAGGGAUAGGUGGCAACACUUCCUGAGGCUGCGAGGAAGAAAAGUGAAUCUUCCAGAGUAAGGGUGUGUGCUGGUUGUCGGCGGAGCAGCGUGGAGGCGCGGCACGGGGGAGGCUCAGCUGCUGCACCUGUGGCUGCAUGCGCACAUGUGCUGGCUGAAUCUCCGCCUGGCUGCUAUGGUUGAAGUUGUGGUCUCGCCUGUAUCUCUGCUGAAGGGGAGUUGCAGCACGUACGGCUGCGUCAGCCCUGCGCGAGUCAGCUCGGGCAGAGCGAGCUCGGCGCGCGCGAGGCGAAGGUGACCACCUUGUCGAGGUAGUCGGGGCAAGGGAUAGGUGGCAGCACUUCCUGAGGCUGCGAGGAAGAAAAGUGAAUCUUCCAGAUCAAGGGUGUGUGCGCUGGCUGUCGGCGGAGCAGCGUGGAGGCGCGGCACGGGGGAGGCUCAGCUGUUGCACCUGUGGCUGCAUGCGCACAUGUGCUGGCUGAAUCUCCGCCUGGCUGCUAUGGUCGAAGUUGUGGUCUCGCAUGUAUCUCUGCUGAAGGGGAGCCGACGGGUGCAUAGCAAGGAGGGUUGCAGCACGUACGGCUGUGUCAGCCCCGCGCGAGUCAACUCGGGCAGAGCGAGCUCGGCGCGCGCGAGGCGAAGGUGACCACCUUGUCUACGUAGUCGGGGCAAGGGAUAGGUGGCAGCACUUCCUGAGGCUGCGAGGAAAAAAAGUGAAUUUUCCAGAGCAAGGGUGUGCGCGGUCGAUGCAGUGCAUGUAUAUAUUAAAAAAAAUGUUUGCUGGAAGCCGCCGUUGGGUGUGUAACGGCUGAGCCGUGCACCACGACGCUAGUGUCCAUCUGAGCCGGCUAGUGCUGGAUGAUGGAUGUCCCAAUAAAUGCGGUCGGUGAGUGGGCCCUAGUAUCUGGAAAAGCAUCUCAUACUACUCAGAAUACGCAGUAAAAUACAUCUCCUGAUGCGAAUCUUAGCGCCAGACAACGGCUGGGAUAACAGGUCCAUCUGAGCUCGAGCUCAGAAUAGGACUUUCGCCACGUAAUCUUCCACCAUAGAUAUGAAUACCACAAUUAGCUCUGUUAGUGGUGCUUUGCUGAAUCUCGAGUAUUAAAUGAACACCUUAUUUUCUAUAUACAAUUAAAAUGGUUGCUGAUGGUUUAUAACAAUGCAGUCCUGAACAUACAAUGUGAUUCUAUUCAUCCGAGUAAAUAUAUACAUAAGGACGGACUAUGAUGUUAACUUCCUUCGACAUAUUUGGUUUUAUGUCAACAAACCAUGUUCAUAUGUUCUACUUUUUUUUCUCUGCAACCGAUCAGUACAUUUUCUUAGUGUUUAUGGACGUCGCACCACAUUGGAUGUUCGCCCUUUCAUAACAAAAUUUUGGCAUAGACAUUGCUGAAUUUACUGUUUGCGAUAUAAUGUAUUUGCCAAAAUCGUUUUAACUAACAUUGGCUUUUGUAGUGAGGAGUGAGGACACCAAAACUUCCAUAAUUAGCGGAUGCAAUAAAGUAUUUGAGGUUAUGUUUGGUUUUAAUUAUUCAGCUGGAGCAGAGGCUCUAUUUUAUCUAAUCUGUAUAUGCUAGCUGUGUACUACAGGUUUGUGGCAGAGUUAUCUCUACUAUUAAAGAGGGAUCGAACGUCGUGAUGGUUCGACCUCCUCUUCCUAUCGCUAAUCGCUAGCUAUCUGUUAGGAUUUAAUCAAUUUAUCUCUACUAUUAAAGAGGGAUCGAACGUCGUGAUGGUUCGACCUCCU
Non-coding RNA from Triticum urartu, 1791 nucleotides. Lineage: Eukaryota; Viridiplantae; Streptophyta; Magnoliopsida; Poales; Poaceae. The record is from RefSeq and is a predicted model, not a curated record.